GACGUAGGGGGCGAGCGUUGUCCGGAAUUACUGGGCGUAAAGAGCACGUAGGCGGAUAUUUAAGUCAGGUGUGAAAGACCGCAGCUCAACUGCGGGGUGGCACCUGAAACUGGGUAUCUUGAGGGCAGGAGAGGGCAGUGGAAUUCCAGGUGUAGCGGUGAAAUGCGUAGAAAUCUGGAGGAACACCAGUGGCGAAGGCGACUGUCUGGACUGACCCUGACGCUGAGGUGCGAAAGCGUGGGUAGCAAACAGG
Molecule: ribosomal RNA, 253 nt
Filed under: uncultured bacterium
Lineage: Bacteria
Description: partial 16S ribosomal RNA
Rfam family: Bacterial small subunit ribosomal RNA
Source: RNAcentral